This is a long non-coding RNA of Oncorhynchus gorbuscha (pink salmon), 1823 nucleotides long. RefSeq lists it as uncharacterized. Lineage: Eukaryota; Metazoa; Chordata; Actinopteri; Salmoniformes; Salmonidae. The transcript has 3 exons. The record is from RefSeq and is a predicted model, not a curated record.
UGUUUGCGAUGUCUGAUAAAUUGGCAAAUUACCUGCCAGGUGACAUAGUAAUGAAAUAGGAAUCACAAUCUUACCAAUCAACCAAUCAAGUUUGGAAGCAUAUAUAUCGAGCUUGCCCACAGCACAAUCACUACCAUUUUUGAACAUGGAAGAACAUCACAACACUGAACAGCAGCUACAUGCUUGUGGAAGAGAAAUAAGAAGGUAAAGAAUGAGAGUCCCUGAUGAAACCAUGUCCUCACAAUGGAAGAGGCUGGUUGGAGAGUAGAGCCUAAUGUAAACAGGUCCACAGUGUCAACAAUUGUGCAAACAUUCCAUAGGGAAAACAGAUAUCAAUCCUGUCAGCAUUUACACUAUAGACAGAGUUCUGAAAAAUGACUAUGAAACAACUCUACAAGGUGCCAUCUGAGAGGAAUAGUGACAGAGUGAAGGAGCUGAGAGAAUUAAGGACAUGGAAGGACAUGAAAAGACCAAUUCUUGUUUUUGAUUGAACAAGGCUGGGUUCAAUCUGGCCAAAGGCAGGAGACGUGGCCGUAAUCUCAUUGGACACCCAGCCACAAUUGGCACACCAGGCCAACAUGGGGGCAAUAUUCCAAUGUAUGCUGCCAUUUCUGAGAAUGGUGUAAGCACACAUAUUGCACACAUUGGGCCUUAACACCCAACUUCUCCUGGCCUUCCUUAACACACUUCACAGACACCUAACUCCAGAACAUGAAUUUCUUUUAGCUAGACCACAUUUGCAAAAUGAUGUAAUUGUGUGGGAUAAUGUCAGCUUCCACCAAACCAACAUUGAAAGGAUAACAAUCGAGUUCCUUCCACCAUACUCCCCAUUCCUGAAUCCGAUAGUUUUUUUCAGCAUGGAGGUGGAAAGUAUAUGACUAUCGGGCACAAGAUCAGAGGCCUCUGUUAGAUGUCAUGAAUGCUGCUUGUGAGGGGAUCACAAGGGGGUUGGCUGCGCCACGCAGCGAGACUUUUCCCCCGGUGCAUCGCAAGGGAAAACAUCAGAUGUGACGUUGACAAAUCUCUGGCCAGACCAACAAGAGUGACAGGAUGUCCACCAAGAUGAUGGGAACUUGUAGUGUUACGUACUGUGAGGAGGUACAAUGUAUUGUCUUUUACAGAACUACUGCAGGUUUUUUCAUUCUUGAGUGUUUUUUGUUGUUGCAUGGAUGUAAUUUUGUGGCAGAUUUUCUGUUCACUAUAUGUGACUUUACAUGUAGGAAAUAUGUAGAAAUGGACUAACAAAUGUGAAUUUUCUGUUUACAUGUAACAUAUUGCUACAAAGAAAUGUACUGUAUACUUACAAAUGUACAUAUCCUUUUCUGUGUUACAGUAUUGACUUCUCCCAGUAAACUUUUACCUACUAUUGAAAUCAGUAUCUAAAAAGCUCAGUGUGAUACACAAUAGCAUUCAGACAGACAACUGACAUUAUUGUAUAGUGCAGUCAGUGUCAACAAAGUAGAACAAAACUGAAAUUUGUAUCUAAAAUAUUUCCAGGGUUGACUGCCAUGGUGAAAAAACAAUUAAAUAUUUUGACCAGUACAGCUCACACAAUGACAAUUUUUUGUUUAAAUUUUGGUGGCAUUGGCCAAUUUACUGACACAAUAACUAGGUUUUAAUAACUAGCAUGAAUUGAAUGUUUUGGGUGCGUUACUACAUUUCGCAGACAUGCAAUAGAGUUGUGAUGUCCCAUAAAACAUUUGUGACAAUUGCACUUACCGUUAAGAGAAUGUUAAGACUGUUUCAAAAAAUGAGCCAUUGAGAAACUGUAAACCAGGGCUGCCCAACCCUCUUCAUGGAGAACUACUUCCUGUAAGUUUUCA